Molecule: transfer RNA, 73 nt
Filed under: Cordylochernes scorpioides
Lineage: Eukaryota; Metazoa; Arthropoda; Arachnida; Pseudoscorpiones; Chernetidae
Description: tRNA-Phe
Rfam family: tRNA
About the family: Transfer RNA (tRNA) molecules are approximately 80 nucleotides in length. Their secondary structure includes four short double-helical elements and three loops (D, anti-codon, and T loops).
Source: RNAcentral
GCCGAAAUAGCUCAGUUAGGAGAGCGUUAGACUGAAUAUCUAAAGGCCCCUGGUUCGAUCCCGGGUUUCGGCA